Molecule: long non-coding RNA, 494 nt
Organism: Papaver somniferum (opium poppy)
Lineage: Eukaryota; Viridiplantae; Streptophyta; Magnoliopsida; Ranunculales; Papaveraceae
Exons: 3
Source: RefSeq, a predicted model, not a curated record
CCAAAACAUAAUAUUAUUAGUUUUCUCCUACUGUGUUUCACAUUCUGAAAAACCUCCUGGCUAAUCUUGUGGACGAAUGGGAUAAAGAAGAAUGUGUUUCAAACUGGCAAAAAUACAGACCUUGUCUCUCUGAACAUAUGGAGAUGGAGGUGAAACAACUAGUGAGAUUCUUGGAAGAAGAAGCUGAUGUUGGGUUUCAAACUUCUACUGAGUAAAGAUUACUUAUUUCGAUGGGAUGCGGGGAAUUGACUAACAGAUGUGAAGAAGAAGGGACAAGAAUGGAGAUACUCGGACCAUUUCUAGGGGUUGUGGGACUUGAGUCUUUCUUUGGAAGCUAGAGAAUGUGAAUGUAAUUUAUCAAUUUUCAUAAGCACACUCGAUACACUAAUCAAAGGCUUUAGUUGGCAAGUAAUUUUAAUUUCAAGGCAUUUUAACUGUAAAGAAAAGUUCAUUGCGGGCUAACUGCUAAUGAAAGAUUCAUGGCAUGUGCUGUA